Molecule: ribosomal RNA, 477 nt
Filed under: uncultured bacterium
Lineage: Bacteria
Description: bacterial SSU rRNA
Rfam family: Bacterial small subunit ribosomal RNA
Source: RNAcentral
GCUGGCGGCAGGCUUAACACAUGCAAGUCGAGCGGUAGCAGAUCUAGCUUGCUAGAUGCUGACGAGCGGCGGACGGGUGAGUAACGCGUAGGAACCUGCCCAGUAGUGGGGGAUAGCCCGGGGAAACUCGGAUUAAUACCGCAAACGCUCUACGGAGGAAGGAGGGGGCUUCGGCUCUCGCUAUUGGAUGGGCCUGCGUGAGAUUAGCUAGUUGGUGAGGUAAUGGCUCACCAAGGCGACGAUCUCUAGCUGGUCUGAGAGGAUGAUCAGCCACACUGGGACUGAGACACGGCCCAGACUCCUACGGGAGGCAGCAGUGGGGAAUAUUGCACAAUGGGCGCAAGCCUGAUGCAGCCAUGCCGCGUGUGUGAAGAAGGCUUUCGGGUUGUAAAGCACUUUCAGUGGGGAGGAAGGCCUCGUAGUUAAUAGCUGCGAGGAUUGACGUUACCCACAGAAGAAGCACCGGCUAACUCCGUG